ACACGAGAUGAGAGAGAGAGAGGCGGGGGAUGCUGGAAGGAUGCUGGAGGCUGGUAAAUUUGAACGAGGAAGAAAAUUGAUGUUAAUGACAGGCAUGUCGCUCACCGGCACUUCUUUCACACUAGAACGAAGGGAGAAUGAAGGCAAAUAUUAAAUAGUAGGAGAAGUAGGAGGAGAAGAAGAAGAGGAAGAAGAAGAAGAAGAAGAAGAAGAAGAAAAGAAAAUUGCAAAAGGAAAAGAAGAAUAAGAACUAAAAGAAAAGGAAAGAAAUGGUAACAAAGGAGAAAAUACAAAAAACUAUGAACAAGAAAGAAGAAAAAGAA
Long non-coding RNA from Eriocheir sinensis (Chinese mitten crab), 323 nucleotides. RefSeq lists it as uncharacterized. The record is from RefSeq and is a predicted model, not a curated record. NCBI's taxonomy places the organism in Eukaryota, Metazoa, Arthropoda, Malacostraca, Decapoda, Varunidae. The transcript is spliced from 3 exons.